This 481-nucleotide ribosomal RNA is filed under the name uncultured bacterium. RNAcentral's name for it is "bacterial SSU rRNA". It matches the Rfam family "Bacterial small subunit ribosomal RNA", at positions 28 to 491 of the family's 1533-position model. The record is from RNAcentral.
GACGAACGCUGGCGGCGUGCCUAAUACAUGCAAGUAGAACGCUGAAGAGAGGAGCUUGCUCUUCUUGGAUGAGUUGCGGACGGGUGAGUAACGCGUAGGUAACCUGCCUUGUAGCGGGGGAUAACUAUUGGAAACGAUAGCUAAUACCGCAUAACAAUAGGUGACACAUGUCAUUUAUUUGAAAGGGGCAAUUGCUCCACUACAAGAUGGACCUGCGUUGUAUUAGCUAGUAGGUGAGGUAACGGCUCACCUAGGCGACGAUACAUAGCCGACCUGAGAGGGUGAUCGGCCACACUGGGACUGAGACACGGCCCAGACUCCUACGGGAGGCAGCAGUAGGGAAUCUUCGGCAAUGGGGGCAACCCUGACCGAGCAACGCCGCGUGAGUGAAGAAGGUUUUCGGAUCGUAAAGCUCUGUUGUAAGUCAAGAACGAGUGUGAGAGUGGAAAGUUCACACUGUGACGGUAGCUUACCAGAAAGG